CCCACAGAUAAAGGGUCAAGAAAAACCAGGAAAAGAAGAAGAGAGUGCUGGAAGGAUCUAUAAACAAUAGAGAAAGAGACAGAUUUAGAGAGAUUGGCUGGAUUUACCGUGUAUGAGUUGGACUGUUUUGGACUUACCUGUUGGCGUUUGGACCUGGACCUACCGAGAACCCGAUUUGUGUACCGAACCCUGCUAUCCUUGACCUUGCCUACGGCCUGGGUGGACCAGGACGGAGAAACAACCACACAGGCUGGUGGUGGCUGGUCCAUUCCAGGAGUCUGAGGUGCGGGAGGUUCCUCCGCCCCCUCUGGAUCGAGGGGGCCACGGCGUAUGCAGUUCGAUCCAUACUGGAUUUGAGGCGUCGGGCGAGGGCCUUCAGUACCUCGUGGAGUGGGAGGGGUAUGGUCCGGAGAAGAUAUGCUGGGUGCCGGUGGAGGACGUGUGGACCCAUUGAUGCGGGUGCUGUGUUCAUCCUUCGCUGAUGCGAACACAAGCCGCUGAGUGGGACGGUCAUGGCUAGAAGAUUAAAGGUCAGAUUUGACCUUUCGAUCAAUUUCCUCCCAAAAAGUAUAUUAACUGCAUGACAUGGCGUUUCUCCUAUUUUGUUGCAUUACAACCUGUAAUUUAAAUAGAUUUUUGAUUUGGAUUGCAUGUAACGGAUAUACACAAAAUAAUCUAAAUUGCUGAAGUGAAAUGAAAAAAAAUAAUACAGAAGCUAUGAAGCCCCUAAAUAAGAUCUGGUGCAACCAAUUACCUUCAGAAGUCACAUAAUUAGUCCACACUUGUGGACUUUAUUGAAGUGUCACAUGAUCUCAGUAUAUAAACACCUGUUCUGAAAGGCCCAAGAGUCUGCAACACCACUAAGCAAGGACCACCACCAAGCAAGCAGAACCAUGAAGACCAAGGAGCUCUCCAAACAGGUCAGGGACAAAGUUGUGGAGAAGUACAGAUCAGAUUUGGGUUAUACAAAAUAUCUGAAACUUUGAACAUCCCACGGAGCACCAUUAAAUCCAUUAUUUAAAAAAUGGAAAGAAUAUGGUACCACAACAAACCUGCCAAGAGGGAACCGUCCACCAAAGACCAGGCAAGGAGGGCAUUAAUCAGAGAGGCAACUAAGAGACCAAAGAUAACCAUGAAGGAGCUGCAAAGCUCCACAGCCGGAGAUGGGAGUAUCUGUCCAUAGGACCACUUUAAGCCGUACACUCCACAGAGCUGGGCUUUACAGAAGAGUGACAGGAAAAGAAGCCAUUGCUUAAAGAAAGAAAUAAGCAAACACAUUUGGGGUUUGCCAAAAGGCAUGUGGGAGACUCCCCAAACAUAUGGAACAAGAUACUCUGGCCAGAUGAGACUAAAAUUGAGCUUUUUGGCCAUCAAGGAAAACGCUAUGUCUGGUGCAAACCCAACACCUCUCAUCACCCUGAGAACGGCAUCCCCACAGUGAAGCAUGGUGGUGGUGGCAGCAUCAUGCUGUGGGGAUGUUUUUCAUCGGCAGGGACUGGGAAACUGGUCAGGAAUGAUGGAUGGUACUAAAUACAGGGUAAUUAUUGAGGGAAACUUGUUUCAGUCUUCCAGAGAUUUGAGACUGGGAUGGAGGUUCACCUUCCAGCAGGACAAUGACCCUAAGCAUACUGCUAAAGCAACACUCGAGUGGUUUAAGGGGAAACAUUUAAAUGUCUUGGAAUGGUCUAGUCAAAGCCCAAACUUCAAUACAAUUGAGAAUCUGUGGUAUGACUUAGAUUGCUGUACACCAGUGGAACCCAUCCGACUUGAAGGAGCUGGAGCAGUUUUGCCUUGAAGAAUGGGCAAAAAUCCCAGUGGCUAGAUGUGCCAAGCAUAAAGAGACAUACCAUAAGAGACUUGCAGCUGUAAUUGCUGCAAACGGUAGCUCUACAAAGUAUUGACUUUGGGGGGGUGAAUAGUUAUGCAUGCUCAAGUUCUGUUUUUUUUUUGUCUUAUUUCUUGUUUGUUUCACAAUAAAAAAUAUUUUGCAUCUUCAAAGUGGUAGGCAUGUUGUGUAAAUCAAAUGAUACAAACCUUCCAAAAAUCGAUUUUAAUUCCAGGUUGUAAGGCAAAAUAUGAAAAAUGCCAAGUGGGUUGAAUUCUUUCGCAAGCCACUGUAGCUGUGCAGCGACACUCCCCAUCCAACCUGACAGAGCUUGAGAGGAUCUGCAGAGAAGAAUGAGAGAAACUCCCUAAAUACAGGCGUGCCAAGCUUGUAGUGUCAUACCCAAGAAGACUCGGGGCUGUAAUCACUGCCAAAGGUGCUUCAACAAAGUACUGACUAAAGGGUCUGAAAACUUGUGAAAUGUCCUUUUUUUAAAUUUGAUACAUUUGCAAACAUUUCUAAAAACCUGUUUUUGCUUUGUUAUAAUGGUGUAUUAUGUUUAGAUUGAUGAGGAUAAAAUAUUUUCAUUCAUUUUAGAAUAAGGCUGUAAUGUAACAAAAUGUGGAAAACGUCAAGGGGUCUGAAUACUUUCCGAAUUAACUUAAUGUUUCUCACUAAGUAAUGGGCAAGAUAUCUAUCAAACUAAAGAAAUAGCACGAUUCUGGAUUAAUCCCAUCUACUUAUGUUAUUUGAUGCUGGAAAUGAAUUCAUCUGGGCCAAAACACAAGGUGAGACAUAAUGUACAAUAGUGGUUAUUAACUUGUUGUCCAGCUGGGCUCAUAGUAUACUCACACGUCUAUGUAGUCUCCAUUUUCCCAGGAUGUACGUUUACAGUGCUGGUCCACACCAGGAAGGCUGCCACGCGCAACAUGGAGAAGGUUCAGGUCAUCAAGGAUUGUCCAUGAUAGUUGCAGAUAAGUAGGAAGGACACAUGCAGGAGCCCAAACUCAUACCCCUGAAGACCAUGACGUCAGUCAUUGUAAAAAUGCAGCUGUAUGUGGAGGAGAAGGCCCUGGAGGCUUCAGAAACCAAGCUUGAUGGCAAUCCUCUGCACUGCAGCUGCCACAGGAAUCCACUCGCAGAGGAAUUGAUUUGGAAAAUGCUUUAUGUAAAUGCCUUGUUAAUGUAAAUCCCUAUUUUUUUUGCCUUUCGUGAACUAACACUCGUACCUGACUCUUUUCCCCCUUACUAGCUCUGACUUUGCUGAUAGCUACUUUAUUGAAGAAAAAUGUACUUACUAUGGCCUAUGAUAUGUGGUUGUUCCACCUUGCUAUCUUAAGAUGAAUGCACUAACUGUAAGUCACUCUGGAUAAGAGUGUCUGCUAAAUGACUAAAAUGUAGAUGGUUUAUUAUUAUAAAGUGUUAACCAUG
This is a long non-coding RNA of Oncorhynchus masou masou (cherry salmon), 3256 nucleotides long. RefSeq lists it as uncharacterized. NCBI's taxonomy places the organism in Eukaryota, Metazoa, Chordata, Actinopteri, Salmoniformes, Salmonidae. The record is from RefSeq and is a predicted model, not a curated record. The transcript has 5 exons.